Molecule: long non-coding RNA, 959 nt
Organism: Momordica charantia (bitter melon)
Lineage: Eukaryota; Viridiplantae; Streptophyta; Magnoliopsida; Cucurbitales; Cucurbitaceae
Source: RefSeq, a predicted model, not a curated record
UUGUGCUCCAACUUUCUCGAGGCCUUUAUUCACUGGACCGCAUACAACAUUGAAAUUAUGUGGGUCAUCAUCGAUGUAAAUUCCAAAAUUACCCCCAUCCACAAUAGCUGGAACCGGAAGAAGAGUUGGUAUGCUCUAUUUCCCCAAGCUCCAUUCUCAAUGUCCACAAGCUCUGGUCCCCUUGCUCCAUGUCACGCAAUUGGGCGCCGGAGAAACAGCCUAUUGUCGUGAAGGCUAAGCUUGUUUCCAACAUCGCUGAGAAGAAGAUUAAGGAUGCUACUCACUGCUUCGAUUCGUUUGGAUAAACUCUUACCGAAGAUAAAAUCUUUGGGUGGAAUGAUACAUAAAAUAAAGGAGGGAGAAGACAGACAAUGGAUUUUAUGGCUUCCUUUUACAUUAAUAAUGGCACACAAGAUGUCCAAUCGAUCCACCGUUUCAAGUAGAGUACCAGAUGGUGACAUUUGGAACCUACCAACCCAGCCCAGCAUGUGUUCGACGAAAUGCCUCAAAGAGGACUGUUUGUUGGAACGCAAUGAUUUCAAGAAUGGAGAAGUGAACUCUCAAGCUCCUCAAUCCUUAUGGAGAUGUGCAAAGGCCUGGAAUCAAGCCGUAGCCGUUUUGGCUACCUGUAACAAUUCACCCUAAAAUCUGGACAUCAUGGGUGUAUAUAUACUCCACCUGCUAGGCCAAGCUGGGUAGUUUGAGGAAGCAAAAUAAGUUAUUCAAAGGAUUCCAAACAGAUCAUUUAGGUAUAUAAAAGCGACACAGAUAGAGAUUUGUUUUCUACUUCUUGUUAGAUGCUUCACUCCUUACCCACAGUGAUAGUUGCCCUUCAUUUUGUUGACUCCUUUUUCUAACUCCUUCUCCAGUGAUUGUCUAGUGGUUUUCAGCACUUAUCAUGUUUGUCAGUUCACACUAAAUCAUUUGCAACUCAGCAACCAAAGUCGAUUUUUUUUCUA